This is an RNA transcript of Gadus morhua (Atlantic cod), 4269 nucleotides long. RefSeq lists it as uncharacterized. The transcript is spliced from 10 exons. The record is from RefSeq and is a predicted model, not a curated record. Lineage: Eukaryota; Metazoa; Chordata; Actinopteri; Gadiformes; Gadidae.
CAAGAUUAUAAUAGUGUGUGUAAGACCAAGUAUGAAUUCUGUCCCAGGUGGCCCCUCAUAGUUAAGGGAUGCUUACCGUGAUGCUACUGUAUCUAACAGGAUUUAGUUUUCACCUACAGUAGUAGGUGAAAACUAACAUAUUGUUGUAUAUUGUUUUUGUAUUUUUGUAGAUUAUUGACAUUGAAACUUUUAAUAUUUAUCAAUAACGUUACUAUUAUAUUAUUAUAUUAAGGGAGAGAGGAAAAUGAGAGGGAGACAGUUGACGGAAACAAGGAAAAUGAGAGUGAAAAUGAAGAAAGUUCGGAGGCAAGGGAGACAAAGCAGAGAAAGGCAAAAACAGUUGUUGAGUCUGGUGAAGAAAAUGAUGACACACAUGAAGGGGACGACAAAAUGACAACGCAAACACCACCAACAGUUGAAGAACUCACCGAAAGUGACAGUGAAGAACAACUUUCAGCGACAAUGACAAGAAGGAGAAAAGUAAAAACAGCUGUUUACUCUGGAGAUGAAAGUGAUGACACAAAUGAAGGAGAUUUCAAAAUUACAAUUCAACCAUCACCAACAGUUGAAGAACUCACCGAAAGUGACAGUGAAGAACAACUUUCAGCGACAAUGACAAGAAGGAGAAAAGUAAAAACAGCUGUUGACUGUGGAGAAGAAAGUGAUGACACAAAUGAAGGAGAUUUCAAAAUUACAAUUCAACCAUCACCAACAGUUGAAGAACUCACCGAAAGUGACAGUGAAGAACAACUUUCAGCGACAAUGACAAGAAGGAGAAAAGUAAAAACAGCUGUUGACUCUGGAGAAGAAAGUGAUGACACAAAUGAAGGAGAUUUCAAAAUUACGAUUCAACCAUCACCAACAGUUGAAGAACUCACCGAAAGUGACAGUGAAGAACAACUUUCAGCGACAAUGACAAGAAGGAGAAAAGUAAAAACAGCUGUUUACUCUGGAGAAGAAAGUGAUGACACAAAUGAAGGAGAUUUCAAAAUUACAAAUCAACCAUCACCAACAGUUCAAGAACUCACAGAAAGUGACAAUGAAGAAGAACAAAUUUCGGAGACAAAGGGAGAAGAGCACACAAAAAAAAAUGAUAAAGAGGACACGUACAGGACGUGCGUAGUCGGUCCAAAAGAAUUCAAAUUUAAGGUCGCAAGAAAAAAUUGGAUAAAAAUAAAGCCGGAAAAGGGAAAAAGACAACUGAGACCCCCAUGGACCGAUAUAUUCUACAAUGAAUUUAGAAAAAGCAACCCAUCGUGCACAUUGGCCUUUAAGUACCAAAAUAUUAGAACACGUGACAGCCGGAAAAAAAAAUCACCAUACCUCCGCGCCACAGCCAAGUGCACGUUUGAAGGUUGUGAGGCGGUUUACACUUUCACCAGGAAAGGCCCACCAAAAUACAACGCAAAAAAGAUUACUGUCAUGGUGACACGGUUUGGGGAAGUCAAACACCUUAAGUCUCAGAGAAAAUGUAGGCCUGCAAGAUACCUCAGGAGAGGAAAAAUAGCAAAAGCAGUAAAAAGUGGUGUGAGCAACUGCUAUUACGAAUUGCUGAAAAACACACCUGUGGAGGAGAUCAUGGCUGGUAACAUAACCAGAAGCCUCACAAAAGACGUGUUAAAAAUCAUAUCUUACGAGAUCAGAAGCGUUGCAAGGCUUCACAAUGACCAAUUGUUGGAGCUAAUGCUCACUCAGAGGAUUAUCAGAGAGAGUGGUCGGCAAACUCGGCAUGCAUCAUCGAACGGCUAUCUGCAGCUCCUCCAGAUUGACCCUUUUGCAACCCACUUAUACACUGAUGCGGGCCUGCAAAUUUUGGCUGAACAUUUGAGAGGACCCAUGCCCACUACCCUAUACCUCGAUGCAACAGGUGGGGUAGUUCAGAAAGUACCCCAUCAGUCAAAAAGAGUUCUCUAUUAUGCCCUGGUUCUGCCUGGAAUGGGCAAGGACAAGCCGCCUUUGCCAGUCGCGGAGUUCGUGACUAACAGCCAUAGUGUUCCAUCAAUAUCGCACUGGCUUAUGGAGUUCAAUAGGAGGCUGUCCCACAUUACCGGGAGAAAAAUUGCACAAAUAGAGACAGAUUACAGCUGGGCGUUGAUGAACAGUGUGCUCAUCUCUUUUAACCACGAGGAUGUCUCUGCAUACCUUUGCAGAGCAUUCGAAAUUGUGUCGGGACAACUCAAAGUCAUUCCAAAAUUCACUGUGCUCCAUUUGUGCUCUGCACAUAUACUUAAGGCAGUCUCCCAGGCCUUUGGGAGAACAACCAGUGACAGAGGCAUAAAGGAGUAUGCAACAUACAGUUUUGCAUACCUGCUGAACUGUACAAGCUUGCCAGAAGCACUUGAGGUUUUCUACCACAUGUGUGUGCUGUUUGAUGCAGAACAGCACACAGACUCAAUCAAUACCAGUGAAAGGUACCUGAAUGGCUGCAUUUUGCAGAGUCAACACAUGGAUAUUGAGGAAACACAAGAGGGGAGCAGGAUCUGUGAUUCCAGUGACCCUUCCAAUGGCAUUCUCGCAAGGUCCCCCUUCAUGCAGGCUUUUGACCUAAGAAGGGAGCAAGCCACAUGUGACGUCCUGUCUGAUGAGGAAGCAGACAAAAACAACAACUACCACUGCCCAGGUAUAAUAAAUGUCUUGCUUAAGACAUACAUGGGCAUCUUUCCCUUGUGGAGUGGUGUACUACUCGCUGAUCUAUCGAGGCACUCUAAAGGAUCUAUCACAAGAGGAACAGGGUGCAAAACACGGGAAACCAACUGCCAUGUCGAACUAUGGUUUAGGUUGGUGAAACACAGCAUUCUGUGCAAAAGAAAAUACCUCAGACCUGCAGAGUUUGUCUCUAAAAUGUUUGCCUCAGUGCAGGGGAGGUAUGUUGAACAUGUGAUUCAACAAAGCCUGCCAAUUGAUGUACUUCAGAGAAACCUUCAAAGCUCUGUUAAGCUGGAAGAUGACCCAGAAGAGCAAUGGUGUAAGAGGGACACCUCUUCUGGCAGUUCAAAGCGCAAGUCAAAAUAUUUCAAUCCUCCAAAAAACAUUCCAAACCCCAAGACCAAGACCAAAAGCAAGAAGAUCAUAAAAGUGGAGCAGAAUCAACGGGUUGAAGAUGCACAAUUAAACUUGCUGUGGAAAAAGAGGGGAACAGAGAUAAUUGUUGCAACCCUGCCAUCCCAAGUGAAGGGUCGGAGCCUCUUCAUCCACCACACUGAUCUACGGUGUCUACGACCCCACCUGUGGUUGACAGGAGAGAUAAUUCAGGGAUUGCUGCAUCUCAGUGCCUUCACGUACAACGUGGUGGACACCAUUUACCUAAUGGAUUAUUACACCGCAGGUGUACUUUUAUUUGGUGACAGAGCUACUACACGUCGCCACACUUUACCUAAGGUAAACUUCGAUAACUUUGACGGAAUCCUGUCAUUUGUCCACGUGAACAAAAAUCACUGGAACAUGCUGUACAUUCAUGCAAAGUCUGGUACUGUGUACCAAAUGGAUCCCUCACCAGCAUCCUCUGAGCUUGAGGACUCUACCCAUGCGGCUCAGAGACUACAGGAAUACUUGAAGAUUAGAAAACAUCAGGGGAAAACUGACUGGGUGGAUGUGAAGUGGAAAGGAGGAGUGAUGCCCCACCCAGUGCAAAUGGAUGGUUGCAGCUGUGGUGUCAUUGUUGUUGAAAUAUACAAGAUGAUUUCAAAGGAUAAGUUCACUAUUGUGUACUUUGAGCCCCCUUUCUCGGUUGGCUAGGAUGAAAUAGAAUGGUUGACACUGAAAUGUUGACGUUUGGUCCUGUCUCUGGAUGGCCAGAGCAGUGAUGGAAGCCUUCCCUGAGUUCCCCAAAAUGAACUUCUCAACAAAAAGGAGAGCCAUGGAAGAGGCGAGGAGAGAUAUGGCUCUCCAAGUCCUUGAAUCAUCAGUCUUUGAUGAGGAGACUUGUUCGAUGUGUGGAGCUGACAAGCCCCCUGGACAAGCACCUCCCGUUACAGACUGGAUCCAGUGUGAUAAUUGUGACCGGUGGUUCCAUAACCUUUGCUUGAACAUGGACCAAAAUAAGUUAAAGGAACUCAAGAAAAGGCAAUGGCUGUGUGUUUUAUGCCGAUGACAAGGUUGAGGAAAAUUGUGCCUCGUCCAAGUGCCAGGUUUUGUUUAGAAAUGUGAUUAAAAAAAACGUAAAAGGCGUGUUAACAUCAGAAGAUGUGGAAAGCAUGAAUGGGGAGGGGAGACACACACACACACACACACACACACACACACACACACACACACACACACACACACACA